CUUUAUUUUUCUGUUAGUCAUUCAUAAUGUACAUAAUUUGUCUGUAAUCUUAACAAAAGCCUCUCUGCUUUCAUUUACUCCAAAAUUCAAGGGAGGGAAAAGGUCUCAGAGUUGUAUGAAGACUGAAAGAACGUAGAUUUAUUUAUUAAUUUUUUUAUGAUAGGAAUGAAGUCAAUUGGUUGAGAAGUAUCUGAAGAGAAAACUGUGGGUAUUUCAGUUCCAUUUCUCUAAUAGCAAAGAAAACAGACUGGGAAAAUCUGAUAAUGCCCAUUUCAACAUGACCUGGGAGGGAAUCCAAGAAAGCAAGCUAUAGAACAGAUAAAUCACUUACUAUUAUGAAGCGUGGAAAGCACAGUGAUCUCAGAGCUAGACAAGGAAAUAAUCACUGUUCAUACUGUGUUUUUAAGCACAGUUAUCGAAGAGAGGCCUCUGGAAACUUAUUUUGAAAGAAGUAGAUGAAAUUAAUUCCCGCAGGUGAUUGCAUCCUGGCAACCAUAAAUGGCAGUGCUUUGGGUUAAAAGGCAGUGUGACCUUUGACCUAGAAGAGACAAGGAUCAUUGUGGGAACUGUCUCCACCCCUUUGUCUUAGAGUCCUCCCAGACUGAGCAAACAGGGCUGGCUAGUUCCACCCCAAGAUGCAGGGUUGGAGUAGAGAGAUUGAACGCGGAAAUCCUGAAGUCGGACUUAUUUUCUAGAGGCAGUAUCUGUGGGCCACUGCGGCUGCGGACACCUCCUCUGCCUACUGUGAUGAGUAGAAUAGUAGCUCCUCUAGAGCAACCAUCCCUGGAACCGGUGGAGAGGAUACCUGACAUGGCGAAAGGGCCUUUGCAAUGUGAUGAAGCAGCAGUUGAAAAGAGGUACAACCUUUCCACUCUGCCUACAAGAGGAGCUCACUGUGCCUCAGUCAACCCAGAGGACAGGUGUCAGCUCGCAGUUUAGAAGGUGCAACUUUGAGUUUCAUCUAGGGACAGGCAACCCCAAAACUGGGAACCUCAGCAAUGAGUCAGGGGCGUUAGAAGACACUGUAUAAACAUGGCAUAUCUUCUGAGAAAGUCAGCUCUACUCAAAGCAUAAUUCAAGACAUACUAAAGGACUUAACAAUGAAGAUGUUCAGAUUAGCAUUGUUUAAUGCACAACUGGAAAUUAAAAUAUGUAUGCUGCUGCUGCUGCUGCUGAGUCGCUUCAGUCGUGUCUAACUUGUUGCUACCCCAUGGACUGCAGCCUACCAGCCUCCUCCAUCCAUGGGAUUUUCCAGGCAAGAGUACUGGAGUGGGGUGCCAUCGCCUUCUCCGAAAAUACGUAUAGUGAGGUGUUAAGUAAAUUAUGGACAUUCAUACAAUGAAGUAUUUUGUGCUAUUAAAGGAUACAUCUAUGUUUAUGUGUGUGUGUAUAUAUAUAAAUAUGUCAUGUAAAGAUGUGUAUUAUAUAUUAUUAAGUGAAAAAUAAGACGGUAAUUCUAAUUUUGAUCAUGAUGAUCUCAUUGAACUGUUAUAUUUUUCUACAAUGUUCUUUAAGAAGAAAUUGUGGAACCUCUUUUCUAUUUGAGAUCUUUCUUUUUCUGUUAAUUAUUCACUUUAUUUUGGUCACGUUUUGAUGUUUGAUUUAUUAGCCAUAUCAAAAGUAAUAUUUACUUUUAGUAAAGAGAAUUUAGAAUAGAAAACUUAUUUCCUUAACUGUAUAACUACUUAUUCAUAAGAAAAGCAAAAAAAGAAAGAUUACCCCCAAUAAUGUUUCCACUUUAACAGUGCUGCCAUAAUAAUUUGAAUUUCUUGUGUACUCUUGGUAACCAGCCUGAUGUCAGUGUGACGUCAUUGGAGCAUCAGGAUACCAAGAAGUCACUCCUAACUCUGCUUGAGCAAAGCCGUCCUGUCUCUCUUCAUCUAUCAGCCCAGCAUCUUCUUGCAGUUAGUGAAGAAGUUGGAAGAGUAAAUAAUAAAUAGUGUCAUAUUAUCAUAAACCUUGCCUCCUUUAAAUGUAUGUGGAGAAAUAUUUUAUGAUUUCUGUAUUAAAUUUCACUUACAGCCUUAUGUUAUUAUAGCAGCAGACUUUGGCUAAAUGUCGGAUUCUAGGGUUGCCAUCCCACCCAGCUUAAUUUGAUGAAAAUUUAGAAUGCCCCUUUAGCAUUAAUGCUGCAUUUGAUAACUACACACACAUACUUGCGUGUAAACUAAAUCAGGGUUUCUCAUUCUUGGCUCUAGCGACAUUUGGGGAUGAAUAAUUGUUUAGUGGAGACAGCUGUCCUGUGCGCCAUAGGAUGCUUAGCAGCCUCCCGGGCCAGUGCUCACUAGAUGCUAUCCAAUCUACCUCUUCCUCAAUUGUGAAUAACCAAAGAUGUCUCCAGAAAUUGCCAGAUGUCCCCUGGAGUGGGGAGAUAACCCUGGCUGAGGUCGAUACGUAAGUAUAAUAUUCAUGGGCAUUAUUUUGAGAUGGUGACAGCAUGAUUAACAUCCCCUCUUCUGUCUGCUUAUCUUGUUCUAAUUUGUUUAUACUGAUGUGUAUGACUCUUGAUAUUUGAAAA
Capra hircus (goat) is the source of this 2518-nucleotide long non-coding RNA. RefSeq lists it as uncharacterized. NCBI's taxonomy places the organism in Eukaryota, Metazoa, Chordata, Mammalia, Artiodactyla, Bovidae. The transcript has 4 exons. The record is from RefSeq and is a predicted model, not a curated record.